RNAcentral lists this ribosomal RNA (468 nucleotides) under uncultured bacterium. RNAcentral's name for it is "partial 16S ribosomal RNA". It matches the Rfam family "Bacterial small subunit ribosomal RNA", at positions 28 to 507 of the family's 1533-position model. The record is from RNAcentral.
GACGAACGCUGGCGGCGUGCUUAACACAUGCAAGUCGAACGGAAAGGCCCUGCUUUUGUGGGGUGCUCGAGUGGCGAACGGGUGAGUAACACGUGAGUAACCUGCCCUUGACUUUGGGAUAACUUCAGGAAACUGGGGCUAAUACCGGAUAGGAGCUCCCGCUGCAUGGUGGGGGUUGGAAAGUUUCGGCGGUUGGGGAUGGACUCGCGGCUUAUCAGCUUGUUGGUGGGGUAGUGGCUUACCAAGGGUUUGACGGGUAGCCGGCCUGAGAGGGUGACCGGCCACAUUGGGACUGAGAUACGGCCCAGACUCCUACGGGAGGCAGCAGUGGGGAAUAUUGCACAAUGGGCGGAAGCCUGAUGCAGCAACGCCGCGUGCGGGAUGACGGCCUUCGGGUUGUAAACCGCUUUCGCCUGUGACGAAGCGUGAGUGACGGUAAUGGGUAAAGAAGCACCGGCUAACUACGUG